Molecule: long non-coding RNA, 1580 nt
Organism: Limulus polyphemus (Atlantic horseshoe crab)
Lineage: Eukaryota; Metazoa; Arthropoda; Merostomata; Xiphosura; Limulidae
Exons: 5
Source: RefSeq, a predicted model, not a curated record
AACAAACGCUCUUUAUGAGACUUAUAAAUAACCAAUAACAUCAAAGUCCCAGCUUUAGCUUCAAAUGCUUUAACUUAUAUGUUAAAUAGAGGGCGCAUGAUGUUAAGAUUAAGUAAGUUCAUAAAAAUAGUCCUAACAUAACUAAAAAGUUAUUGGUGAUGUUAAGAAUCUAGAUAACGUUAUAUUGUUUAUAAAUACGAGUAAUCAGUAAAUGAGAAGUUAGUGAAGAAUUUAUUGAAAUGGUAUUGAGUAGUGAUUGAACAUUCAGUAAAACAUUCAAUGUGUGAAAGGUUAAGUAGUUGUUGAUCGAGAGAACACUGAUGGAGUAAAGUUUUAUCAGUGAGUACAUUUUUGGUUGUUUGGUUUGAACUUCUCGCAAAAAUACACGAGAGCUAUCUGCACUAGCAGUUUAUGAUUUAGCAAUGAUAAACUAGAGAAAGGUCAGCUAAUCAACACUGCCUACCGCCAAUUAUUGGACUACUCUUUUACAAACAAAUAGUUAGAUUGACGGACACAUUAUAAUGCCCCCAUGGCUGAAAGGGCGAGCAUGAUCGGUGACUGGGAUUCGAACCCGCGAACCACAGAUGAUAAGUGUUGUGUCCCUAUCAUCAAGCCAUGAAGGUCGAUUGCCAGAACAAUUGAAGAUCAUGGUGGAGAGAUGCCACCUUGGCUGAAAAUGCUGGCCAAAGAGCCCAGCUAAUGUUCAGCCUUUUCUUCACUUGAUUAGUGAAACAGAUGCUGGAUGUCAAGCUCGAGGUUCACCAAUGUUGGAUAAUUAUGGCAGCACUCAGGAACUUAGUUGCCAUUAAACUACAAUACCACUCACCAGUAACUGGUGGAAAUGCUAAUACAAAUGUUGAGAGACCAUUCUACCUACAGACCUGUUGAAAAUUCAUCAGUUUACAUCACUGCCGUCAACCCACUACCCCUGCCCGUUGAGAAGUUCAGCAGUUUACAGGUUACACACCAGCCAAACUUCACUUGGGACAGACUGAUGAAAUACCUCAAUCUAUAGAUGAACAAACAGCAGAAUUACAAGAUGUCAUACAGAAGGCAAAUUCCAAUGUUGAAAAGGCUCAGAAGUGACACCAACAAGCUUACAACCCAAAAAAGAUACCCAGACAUCUUUAAAGUGAUGUCUCUUUUUACCUGCACAGAUGUUUCAGCACUGUGUGUGUAAAAUCCAGGUUGAAUGGUUUUACAUUGAAAUAUCCUAGGAUGGCCAAUUAUUGCAGGUGUAUCUGUCUGAUACUUGUCAGGAGACUGGUUUUAUCUGAAAAUACCAUGUUAGCAUGCAGGAUUUAUGAGAAGACAGAGAACAGAACUAAGAAACUUUUAUUUCUCUUUUUGUUAAUGUUGUUUUCUUGAUGAUGUAUAAUUAUAGGAAUUCUGAUAGUACUUACAGGAUUGAAUAUACUCCUAGGCAAAGUUUGUUAUAUCUGAGAAUUAUCCUGGGGUUGUAACAAUUUCUAAUUUUGUUGUAUUCUCAGAAGAAACUGACAUGUGAGAAUUAAUUGUAGAAACAGGAACAUUUUGAAGUUUUUUGUAAAGUGUGAAUAAAACAAACUCGACAAAAGAGA